CCUCAAGAUGAGAUUUCCCAACUUCGGUUAUAAGAUCCCUCAAAGAUGAUGAGGUUAAUAGGUUCGAGGUGGAAGCAUGGUGACAUGUGGAGCUGACGAAUACUAAUCGAUCGAAGACUUAAUCAAAA
This 128-nucleotide ribosomal RNA is filed under the name Staphylococcus aureus. Its description in RNAcentral is "partial 23S ribosomal RNA". It matches the Rfam family "Bacterial large subunit ribosomal RNA", at positions 2797 to 2925 of the family's 2925-position model. Lineage: Bacteria; Bacillati; Bacillota; Bacilli; Caryophanales; Staphylococcaceae. The record is from RNAcentral. RNAcentral also lists the same sequence under 1 other name.